CCAAUGACAAGAUUGCAAAAUGUGUGAACCAGAAGACAUAGCCAGGACAGGAGCGUGAGCACGCGAGCAAGUGUUUUCUCCCUACCGGAAAUCUGAUGGGCUUAUGACAUCAUGGCUGGCUGCUGAGCGAUGGAGUGGAUGCCACAAAGAAAUCCGACAUAUCCGAUGGAUUCAGAAACCACUUUCCCUCCUGCGGCUGGAGGAACAGGCAUGUGCAGGCAGGAGAACCUGAGCUUUGUUUGAAAAAUUAUU
Long non-coding RNA from Phodopus roborovskii (desert hamster), 252 nucleotides. RefSeq lists it as uncharacterized. The transcript has 2 exons. The record is from RefSeq and is a predicted model, not a curated record. NCBI's taxonomy places the organism in Eukaryota, Metazoa, Chordata, Mammalia, Rodentia, Cricetidae.